UGUAAUUUUCGCAAAUACUUCUUUUGGUCAGAAUUAAUCUCCAUGGUUCGAGAAAAGUAGAGCAUUCCAUUUUGUUCUCUUCACCGCCAUUACUCUCCUCUGCUCCUUCAUUAUCGCUCCACUUCUCUAGUUCUUCUCAUCAAUUUUCUUUGCUCACCGUUGACUGCGUCUCUUUGCUGUUGUUGCCUCAAUCUCCGUUCUUCUUUCUGCCUAAGUUCAUAUGUUACAGUAAGGUUGGGUUGCUGGAUGCUUUUUCCCCUGCCAUCGUUUUUAGCUUCAUGUUAACUUGAGUGGCCGACCGUGGUGGUGCGUACGUUCGAUUCCUAUAUGCUCUCCCUCCUAAACUGUUGGCAUCGUGUGUUUGCUUGAUCUUCAUCUUCACUCUUCCUUCCUAUUCAGCUAGUGGGUGCCGUGUGAGUGGGAGGCGCGCCAUAGUACACCUAGCUAGCAAGGUGUUUAUUGAAGGUGCUAGUCUCGUGUGAAGGCUAAUGCACAUGGAUUGGAGGGAUGGUAAUUCGUGAGUAUUAUACUCAUACUUGUUUUUGCAGGCCUCAUGCUUGCACUUGAUUUGUGGCUCCUGUCGCGCUUGUUUCAUGGCUUUUAGCUACGCUUGAUUGGUUACUUACCUUCGUGAAUUGUGUGUCCAUGCUUGAUUGGUUAUUUACUCUCGUGGACUGAGUAUCCACACGUAUUAUUCAUUCUGAUAAAGCCUUCCUAUAUUAGAUUUAAAACUUAUCAUUUUAUAUUUGUUUCUUUAAAGGAUUUUUUUAAUUGCACCAUUAUUUGAAAUCUUUAUAUAUAUGUAUAUAUAUUUAAUAGAAAAAUUUUGAUAAAUUUAUAUGGUUUUGAUGCUAUUGUUGGUUUCAUGGUUAUACUAUUGAGCAAACUCAUCAUUUAUUGUUAGUUAAAGUAAGUUUCAUUAUUCUCUUAUUUUGUUUAAACUAAAUUUAUUAGUUACUACUUGUCACAUUUUAUUUUUAAUUAAUUAUAAUUUAUAAUCUCAAUUGAGACGCUACUCACUAGAAAAUUCUUUGGUCUCAGAUGUUGUAGAUGACCCUAUCUGUUGAUUGUUGAGAGGCAGUAUCACUUUUUAGAUAGUGGAAGUACAUUCUAGUUAUUUUGAUAUAAUUUUAAUCUAGUGCUCCAUGUAUACUAUAGUUAGAUCCUAGUUUUGUUUUGUUUUGAUGAUUUAUAAUCUGCUAGUAUGGAGCUAAGCUCUUUUACUAUAUUAGCUAACAGGUUUUGUUAUUGUAAAAUUUUAGGAGGUCUAAAUUACAAGGGAAAUUCUACCAAAAUUUUUAUAGAAUAUUUAAGAUUUUUUUUGAACCUUACAAUUAUAUAUAUAAAUUAGUUAUCGAUAUUUUAACUUAAUUUUAUAUAAUUAAGGCUUAUGGGAUGUGAGUUUAUCUCAGAUUCCAUGGCAAUCAUACCCUUAGUGCCAAGAUGUGACACUUACAUAGUUCCUUCUAUUCUUAUUGAUGAUAAUUUUCUUGAUGAAUGCUUGAGUGCUAUGCAUGAUGUUAAUCCUUGGCAUGUCGACUUAGUUAAUUACUUAGCUUCCUUUACAUUGCUUGUGCAUUUAAUGAAAUAUCAAUUAGAUAAGUUUAAGAAGGAAGCUAUAUAUUACAUUUAGGAUGAUCCAUACCUUUGGCACAUAGAUAGUGACCAGAUUAUUAAGAGAUGUAUUCCUAACACUGAGUUUGAGUCUGUAUUACAUUUUUGUCACACACUUGGUUGUAGAGGACACUUUGUUCCACAACGCACUACUAGAAAAGUGUUUGAUUCUGGAUUGUAUUGGCCUACUCUAUUCCAUGAUGCAUAUGUAAUUUGUAAGCAUUGUGCUAGAUGUCAGCAUACAGGAAAUAUCUCCCAUAGAAAUGAGAUGCCUCAACAACCUUUACUUUUUUGUUAGAUAUUUGAUGUGUGUGGUUUUGAUUUCAUGGGACCUUUUCCUAUCUCAUUUAGUUUUGCUUACAUUUUACUAGCUAUUGAUUAUGUUUCUAAGUGGAUGGAAGCUAAAGCUACUAGAACUGAUAGCUUUGCUGUUGUUGUAGAUUUUAUUAGGUCAUAUAUCUUUUGUAAGUUUGGUAUUCCAAAGGCUGUUAUCAAUGACCAAAGGACCUAUUUUCGUAAUCGAAGCAUGUAAAGUUUGUUGGGUAAGUAUGGAUUUGUGCAUAAGAUGGCUACCCUUUAUCAUCCCCAAACUAAUAGGCAAGGUAAAGUUUUUAACUAAGAGAUAAAGUAGAUUCUUGACAAGACAAUGAAACCCAAUAGGAAGGAUUGAAGUAAGAGACUUGAGGAUGCAUUGUGAGCAUAUAGAACUGCUUACAAGACACCAACAAGCAUGUCUCCUUAUCGGAUUGCUUUCGGAAAAGCUUGUCACUUACCUAUGGAGAUUGAGUAGAAAGCUUAUUAGGCAGUGAAGCAAUGCAACAUGUAGUUGGCCAAAGUAGGAGAUCAAAGAAAAAAUCAAUUGCAAGAGCUUGAAAAAUAUCACUUGGAAGCAUAUGAAAAUUCAAGGAUCUAUAAAGAAAAGACCAAGCUGAUGCAUGAUAAGCUGAUAGUUAAGAAAGAGUUUAAUGUUGGACAAAAACUGCUGCUUUAUAAUGCUAGAUUAAAACUUAUGUCGGGAAAACUUCAUUCUAGAUGGGAAGGUCCUUUUGUAGUUGCUAAAGUGUUUUCUUAUGGUGGAGUAGAGAUUAUGGCAGAGUCUAUUGAAACAAAGUUUAAAGAUAAUGGGCCCUAGAUAAAGCAUUUCUAUUAUAGAUUCAAGACACACAUUGUGGAGGAGUUUGCCCUCUAAGAUGACACUUAAUCGAUCAGGUUGUAUCCCUUCUCUUCACUUUCAAUUUACAUAAUUUCCCAUAAAUCUUUUGGACAAUGUUCUACAUUGAGGACAUUAUAGAUUUUAAGUGUAGGGGAGGUUUUUACUAUUUUAACUUGUUUACUUAAUUUUUUCCUAUUUUCAUUUUAUUAUUUUUUUCUUUGUUUUCUUGAAAAAUAAAAAAAGUGUGAAAUUACAAGUUUAAGGCAAUUUUAGUUUGGAUGCAUUCGAGCAUGAUAAGUAAUUGAUCUUGUAUUUGGAAUUCAAGUUAAGUGGCAAUGAAUUUGGUUUGAAUGGAUUAAUGUGAUAGUCUUUGGCUUGUGAGGAUUUGGGCCUAAUAUUAUUUUCUUCUUGUGUGUACUUUCCUAUCACUACUCUCACUCUAGAACUUGUCUUAAUUCUUAGUUGAGACUAUAAUUGCAUAUGCUUUGCAUAAAGAUGAUUUAGGCAUUAUUUUCUUGAACCUACUUAGCCAAAUAGUUAUCCUAUGCAAUUCAAUGUAUCCCUUGUUAGCCACUUUAAGCCUAUACCUUUUCUUUGAAAUUUCAACCAAUUGAAAAUAUAACCAAUAAAAUACCUUAUUUUCCCUUCAUUUUUCUCACCCUACUUUAGGUGAUGAAAAGCAUAUCAUUAUAUUUGUUUGAAUGAAAGAAUACAUUUGAAGAGAGAUUUGUGUUCUUUUGGAAAAAAAAUGGGGCAAAAUAAAAAUAGAGAGAGCAAAAAAGGAAAAAAAAAGCAAAAAAAUAAAAAAUAAAAAAGAAAGAAAAUGAAAAGACAAGAAAAUGAAAAGGUGCAGAAAGAAAAAAAAAGAAAAGAAAAAUAGCAACAACAAAAAAGAGCUAAAUAAAACCCAAAUCAAUUUAUUUUAUUUCUUUCAUUCUAUAUAUUUUAUUUAAAAGAUGUUUUUCAUUCUCCUAAAGAUUUUACCAUCUAAUAUUGUUAAUAAGCUAUUAAAUAUUUGGCCCCCUUUAAUGGAGAAAUGGAUAAGUUAUGCUAAAGGAAUGGACCAAUUGGGAAUUUUUCAAUAAGAGCAACUUAUGAGUUUGUGAACUGCAAUACUAGAGGAAACUCGGGGUGUGGCUGCUCUUCUCUUUGGAAACUCCUCGUUCUAGAGAAAUUGAAAAUGUUCUUGUGGCAAGUUAAUCAUGAGAGACUUUUGACUUGUAUCCUAAAAGCUAAAAGAGGGCCGAGUGUGAGUGAUAUAUGCCCUUUUGGGUGUUCACAUGAGGAAUCUGUCUUACAUAUUUUAAGGGAUUGCGAUCUAGCUCAAGAAUUUUGGUCAUCUAUCAUAAUCAACCCAUAUUACUUGCAAAAAUUCUACUAUUUGUCUUGCAGGAUUGUCUUGAAUGGAAUAUCAAGGAAGACAUUGGCUAAGAGGGGAUCUCUAAAUGGCCUUGGAAGAAAACAUUCAAUCUAGCUUGCUGCAUCUAUAGAAGAAUCGAUGCCAAAGAGCAUUUGAGCAAUCCAGAUCAAACACUCAACAAAUUUAUCAUUCUACUUUGCAUCAACUCAUGGAGAAAAGCGUUCUUAAGGGAGCUUGUAAGAUCAUUCUCAAUGCCAAAUGCAGACUCACUUGACUCCCCCAGAAAAAGAUGAACUCCAGUUUGAAGUGGAUGGAUUUAUUAAUCUAGAAGGACAUGUGGCUGGUGGAGGAGUGUUAAGGAAUUGGCAUAAAGAUUGGGCACUUGGCUUGAAACAAAAUCUUGGUGAAUUAAACCCAACUGCUGUUGAAUUGGCUGUGGUGCAAAAUGCAUUGAAAAUUAUCCAAGAGAGGAAUUUGCAAAAAAGUGACUAUUUUUAUUGAUUCAUUGAAUGCACUCAAUCUGAUGAUUCGUGAAGGAUACUUUUAUCAUCAGUUGGAGGCUGUUAUACAGCAGAUCAGACAAAUUUGGAUUGAUUUACCCUAUAUACAUUGCUCAUAUGUAUUGUGAGGGUAUUAAGUGUGUGAACCAACAUGCUAGGUAUGUGAGCGGAGGUUUUGAUAUUCAGAUCAUCCCCACUGUGUCGGUGGAUUAUUUAAGGGAGAAUGACAAGUAAGGACCUAGUAAGAAUAUUAUUGUUAAAUUAAGAAUUUUAGUACUGAAACAUGGCAUUCCCAAAACUUGAGUACUUCUUGUAACAUGUUUUAGUAUUAAAGUUUCUAAGUUGACAAUAAUGUUUUUAUAUAGUCCUUACUUAUUAUUUUUCCUUGUUUUUUCCAUAUGAACACCCGACCACUUUUGUGAUGAA
Molecule: long non-coding RNA, 5053 nt
Organism: Prosopis cineraria
Lineage: Eukaryota; Viridiplantae; Streptophyta; Magnoliopsida; Fabales; Fabaceae
Exons: 3
Source: RefSeq, a predicted model, not a curated record